Non-coding RNA from Mycena polygramma, 94 nucleotides. NCBI's taxonomy places the organism in Eukaryota, Fungi, Basidiomycota, Agaricomycetes, Agaricales, Mycenaceae. The record is from the annotation of a GenBank genome assembly.
GGUUCGAUGGUGUAGUUGGUUUAUCACUUCUGUCUAACAUUGCCCUUGCUUGCAUGUUCACAGGCGGUCCUCAGUUCGAACCUGGGUCGAAUCA